RNAcentral lists this signal recognition particle RNA (301 nucleotides) under Castor canadensis (American beaver). RNAcentral's name for it is "Metazoan signal recognition particle RNA (ENSCCNG00000000675.1)". It matches the Rfam family "Metazoan signal recognition particle RNA". From Rfam's summary of the family: The signal recognition particle (SRP) is a universally conserved ribonucleoprotein. It is involved in the co-translational targeting of proteins to membranes. The record is from RNAcentral. Lineage: Eukaryota; Metazoa; Chordata; Mammalia; Rodentia; Castoridae.
GCCGGGCGUGGUGGUGAGCGCCUGUAGUCCUAGCUACUCGGGAGGCUGAGGCAGGAGGAUCACUUGAGUCCAGGAGUUCUGGGCUGCAGUGCGCUAUGCCGAUCGGGUGUCCGCACUAAGUUCGGCAUCAAUGUGGUGACCUCCCGGGAGCGGGGGACCACCAGGUUGCCUAAGGAAGGGUGAACCGGCCCAGGUCGGAAACGGAGCAGGUCAAAAACAAAAUGCAAGCAAAAGGACUGGGGACAUAGCUGAAGACGCAGAACAUUCACCUAGUAUGGAUGGAGCCCUGGGUUCAAUCUCC